RNAcentral lists this ribosomal RNA (120 nucleotides) under Esox lucius (northern pike). The record is from RNAcentral. Lineage: Eukaryota; Metazoa; Chordata; Actinopteri; Esociformes; Esocidae.
GCUUCCGGCCACACCUCCCUGAGCACGUCCCGAUCCUCGUCUGAUCUCGGAAGCUAAGCAGGGUCGGGACCCGGUUAGUACUUGGAUGGAGACCGCCUGGGAAUACAGGUGCUGUAAGCC